Long non-coding RNA from Clupea harengus (Atlantic herring), 1445 nucleotides. The record is from Ensembl. Lineage: Eukaryota; Metazoa; Chordata; Actinopteri; Clupeiformes; Clupeidae.
UCCCAGACCAAAAGUCAAGACUCCUCUUUCCUAAUGAAAAGUGCCACUAAGGAACAUACAGGAAACUACAGUUGUCUGUCCUCCAGAACAGAACAGAAUGUCAGUGAGGUGAAAGGAGAUGGAGAGAAUUCCAUCUUCAUCCAAGUGAUUGAUAGAGUAUACCCAGCAGUGAUAGCUGGUGAAACAUCUGUGAGAUCAGGGACAGAUGUGGAUUUCAACUGCACCUCAGAAGAUGCCCCAGACACAGGCCUCCUUUUGGCAUUCCUCUGGAGGAAUCAAACCAUCGUUGACAUUGAAAUGUGGAAUUCUCAGCAGAAACAGGCUAGUUUCCAUCUAAUAGGAGUCCAGGAGAGAGACUCGGGCAACUAUAGCUGUGUGGUAUCAGAGCGACCGCUUGCUGCAACAGAGUUGGACAUGUGUGGAGGGAAUUCAGUCUUCCUGCAGGUUUACGGGAAACCAAAUGAAGAGUCACCUGCCGCCCCAUCCGGUUGCAUAAUGAUGGCCGCUCAGUUUCUGCUAAUCCCCCUGCUCCUUCUUGCGCUGCUGAUUUUACUGAUGUGGAAGAAAGGGACAUUCAGGCGAUGGAAAUCUCCACAGAGCACAACUGAGCAGCAUUGUCUAGAUUUGGCUAACACAGGACUGCCUGCACAUGGACGAUCACUUGAGGCAACAAGUGAAGAGCCUGCUGUGGACAGGACUGAUACGGGGAUGUGUGACAGACAACAAAAUCUCAAUCAAGGAGAGGACAUGGGCCCCACUGAAUGGAGUGAUAAUUCUGCCGAUGAUUCUGACGACUAUGUCAACGAUACCUAUCAGGACGGAGCCCCUGAUGAAGGAGCCGCAAGACCUUAUGCCACAGUGUCGAAGAAAAGAAAGAAAAAGAAACCAGAGCCACUGUAUUCAAUUGUUCUUCAGUAGUUUUUGUUUCUAUUCUGAAAAUGCAGUGUAACAGUUUGUUAUCAUGUUAUUUGAAAGCUCCUUGAUCAAUGCGAACUUUGUUGUGUAAUGAUUUGCCAUGAUUUCUCAUUUUCACCACCCGAACAUAUGAAUGUGUGAAUACGCAAUAAAUCAUACAAGUGCAAUUUACAUGUUAAUUUGAUUAUAUGUUAAUACUUUAGAUGAAAUGAUGAUUCAGUGGAUUAGGCAGAGGUACUCUGUAUUUUAUACACAUCUGUGCUUCUCACAUACCGGCGAGGUCAGGAUGUUGACCCAGUUGAGUUUGGAAUUACGGGCACAGGACCUCAAGCCUAAGGGAUGUGGGAUUGGUGCACUGACUGACAAACACACAUGUUUAUAAAACUUCUCUUGUUUGUAUAUUAAUUAAACAACACAUGAAUCUUAUGAUGAUUAUGCUCUGGGUCAAUUUUUAAUAAAUGUAUUCAGUUGGGAAAAAGGCAAUAGUGUUUCAUUUCUGAAGAUGAUGCUAUCUCUGAAAGGUAAAUGGG